Long non-coding RNA from Cucurbita maxima (winter squash), 312 nucleotides. RefSeq lists it as uncharacterized. Lineage: Eukaryota; Viridiplantae; Streptophyta; Magnoliopsida; Cucurbitales; Cucurbitaceae. The record is from RefSeq and is a predicted model, not a curated record. The transcript has 2 exons.
GAAUCAGGCACAGGGCUCACAGCAGACAGCUCUAGGAGCGGUGGGGAUAGUGGCCUACGCCUCUUUCUUCUUGUCGGCAGUCGGUGAAGAUUCGAACAGUGUUCUUUAUGUGGGAUUGAAAGAGAAAGAGAAAGACAAAGGCUGUGUAGAUAAUCAUCAUCAUGUUUCGCUUACAUUGGACCCAUUCGCCGUAAGAGAUUUUGAUCCUUUUCUAUUGAUUAUUAAAUGGGAGUUCUGAACUCUUUUUGUUACAUGAUUUGGCAAUUAUUUGUUGUAGAACAUAUGGUAACAAUUUUAUGUAUUAGAUUUCAU